Molecule: long non-coding RNA, 1702 nt
Filed under: Medicago truncatula (barrel medic)
Lineage: Eukaryota; Viridiplantae; Streptophyta; Magnoliopsida; Fabales; Fabaceae
Description: lncRNA gene14100
Source: RNAcentral
CCUUCUUGCAUCUAUGCAGUGGAUAGAAAAAUGACGCAUGAAAACAUAUGUAAAACCUACACAUUGAGCAAGAAAAUGUUAAACUAGAUAAUCAUGGUAGAUCCUCUAGUCCAUUCUUGAAGAAAAAGGUGAAAAUAUCCAUUUUACUCUUAGGCAAAGCUAACCCUAUCUCAAUUCCACCCUCAAAAUCUCUACUCUCAACAAAAGAAACACCUCUUGUAAAAUCAAUUGAAACCUCCUCUAUUUUCUUAGGCCUCCCCCACCCAAAAUUCAAUUCAUAAAGUUUCAAUUUUGGAGACCAUGUAACAUGAACAUGUUCCUCUGACCCAUGUAACAUUUCCCAAUCCAAAAUCCAUUUCUUACCCUCUCCAAAAAUUGAUGCAUCAAGUUUCUUAAUUGUGCUUCCAAUUUCUUUAGCUGCAACAACAAUACCAUCUUCUCCUAGUAAGUCCUUUUUUGUCAAUGAUACCCUUCCAAAUCCAACACAAUUACCAAAAUAAUUCUUUGGUACUUGAUACUCCAAUCUUGUUAUACCACCAGCAAUGAAUCCAAAGUGUGUAACAUCUUCACAAACCACUUUUUCAUUAAUAAACUCUUGUUGAGUUUUAAGCAAACAAAUCCAUAAAAAAGCACUAGUUAACACAUACGAAGAUAAAUGCAAAGGUUGAGAUGUUUUCUUUUCUUUGCAUGAUUCAACAAUAAUUUUUUUGAUUUUCUCCAUUUGAGUUAAACUCAUUAAGAAUGUAGCUCUAGUCAUGUUUGAGGAAUCAACUUUGGAUUCUCUACUAUCUUUUGCAUUGAGUACUAGUCUUCUUUUUCUCCAAUCUUUCAAGAAAACUUCGUGAAGGUCAUUUGUGUCGAUAAUCACACUUCGAUCAUACAAGGGAAGGGAUUUUAUAAGCGAUGAUGAGUCUUCAAAGGUAGAAGAAGAACAAUAUGAAGACCAUGUUUUGAUGAAAUUGUGGAAGGUUCUUCCAUCAGCAACAACAUGAUGAAAAGCUAGGCCAAUGGAAAAGCCAUAAUUUGGGAAUGAUGUUAUUUGAAUAGCUAACAAAGGGAACUCUUUUACUUCAAAUGAAAAGAUUUGUUGCAACUUUGGUACCAAAGGGUGGAAUUCAUUAACAUCUCUUGAGUAAUCGGAGCACAAGUGUUCAAAGUCGCUAUUUGACUCUGCGACCGUGAAUGAAACCGAGUUGUUAAGAGUAAAUUCGAGUUGAGGUUCGGUUAGAUCAAGCGAGGGAACGAAUGUACCGGAAAAUGGGAAGUAAUGUUGAAGUGUGAGAGAAAGAGAUUGUUUAAGUUUUGGGACAAUGGUGGUUGUGAAAUGGGAAAUUGAAUGAGGAAAUUCAUAGAAAAAUAGUGGUUGGCUUGGAGAGAAAAGAAGCCAAGGAAUGUCAAAGAAUGUUAGGGGGAGGGAAGAGACUGUUUGAGUUGUAUUGAUUGGGGGAGUGAUUUUGCAAUGCUCAAUGACCUUCAAAAUGAAAGGAAUGGUGGACAUGUUUUGUAAGAGGAAUUAAGAAAGUGAUGAUAAUUGUAUAAUGUGCUAUAGUUUUAUAGAUGUUGAAGAUAUAUUGUGAGGAUGUUGAAGGGAGCAAAUGACUGGACUCUAUCAUCACAUUGUGUCAAAGUUUUACAGAAAUUGUCAGAAAAUGGUUAUUUAAAUAUCAUUUAAUAAUUGCUUUAUCAUCACAUGUGUUAAACC